AGGGUAGCAGAAUGAAGUUGCCGUAACUGUUGGAGAAAAUGCAACUCAAGCUGCUGAGAGCGCGCAUGGGAACACAAUUCUUCUGGAGCCUGAAGUACUGAUGCAUUAUAUGCCCAUACUCACCCUGUACUGUGGGAAGGCCAGGCUCUGACACAAGCUGCUAAAGGUCGGGGACUGCAAGCGAUGGAUGGACAACCACAAUGCAGGGAUUCUUUGCAUUCUGAAACAAAGGAAAAAAUGUGGAAUGACUGGGGUUUACCUCUUCAGGUAUCAGGCAACUUAUUCUUACCCUUCAACGGUCCUACGGUCCAGAGCAAGAAGCGAAACCGUUCCCAACUGUCGGGCCUCCUUGGAAAUGGAGUUCCUUUGACUGCUGGCUGCAGUGGUGACAACUUCAAACUGUGGCACCAGUUUGCCCUGGACAAAUCCCUGUAACUGAAACAAGACAGAGGCAUAGAAAUCCUCAAGAGAUGUGUCACAGAUGGAGAACAUCCACACCUCUGUGUGCAGACGAAUCAGCUCCAUCUUGGCCGUGGAGUUCCCCUUAAUCAGACCUCUGAUAUGUUCCUGUCUGAGAACCUGGAGAGACACAACAGCACAUGUUUAAUAAUAUAUAUGUUGGAGAAAAACUGACACCUGCGUUUUUAUUUCAUAAAAGGUUUGGCAAAUCAAAAUGUUUAUAUACACACACACACACUUACACACACACUUUCCUAAAUAAUUACUGAUAUAUUUUGAAACAUGUAGAAAAUGCUUGAAACAGGAGUAACACUGGCAAAGGUUAUGAGAGGUCUCAUAUUGUAAGUUAACUCUCACCACUAGUUGUCUGAAGUCAAGGAUGCUUUGCCACUGACUGUGGAGGUUCCUAAGCGCCUCCUGACGGCUUCUGGCAUGCUGGUCAAGUUGGAUACACCUGUCUCUGAUAUGAUCCCUGGUCGCCGCCUUCAUCACACACUGAAGUUCCACUUCUAAAGCUGACCUGACAGCAACAAAGAAAAA
Long non-coding RNA from Sander lucioperca (pikeperch), 999 nucleotides. RefSeq lists it as uncharacterized. The transcript is spliced from 3 exons. The record is from RefSeq and is a predicted model, not a curated record. NCBI's taxonomy places the organism in Eukaryota, Metazoa, Chordata, Actinopteri, Perciformes, Percidae.